This 120-nucleotide transfer RNA is filed under the name Niveomyces insectorum RCEF 264. RNAcentral's name for it is "Sporothrix insectorum RCEF 264 tRNA". It matches the Rfam family "tRNA". Rfam says of the family: Transfer RNA (tRNA) molecules are approximately 80 nucleotides in length. Their secondary structure includes four short double-helical elements and three loops (D, anti-codon, and T loops). The record is from Rfam by way of RNAcentral. Lineage: Eukaryota; Fungi; Ascomycota; Sordariomycetes; Hypocreales; Cordycipitaceae.
GGGAUCGUGGCGCAGUUGGCCAGCGCGUAAGUCUCAUAGUGGAGCAUAAAAAUGUUGCAAAAAAGGCACCUUUUUAGCCUCGCCAUCUUAAGGUCGUGAGUUCGAGCCUCACCGAUCCCA